Long non-coding RNA from Humulus lupulus (European hop), 1143 nucleotides. RefSeq lists it as uncharacterized. The record is from RefSeq and is a predicted model, not a curated record. The transcript is spliced from 3 exons. Lineage: Eukaryota; Viridiplantae; Streptophyta; Magnoliopsida; Rosales; Cannabaceae.
CAAUUAGUUAAGACAUUUCUAGCUUCAACAUAUUGUGGAUUUACUUAUUUAAUUACAAUCAUUAAAUAGUUUUCUAAUUUAAUAAAGCUUCUAUUAUGUAGCACAACUGUGUUUGGAGUUUCCACAGAAUCUAUGCAACUAUCUUAUGAUUCUAGAGGGAAUAGUGUACCAACAAUUCUCUUGCUUAUGCAAGGCCACUUAUAUGCUCAAGGAGGCCUAAGGGCAGAAGGGAUCUUCAGGAUCAAUGCAGGAAAUAGUCAAGAGGAGAUUGUUCGGGAUGGCUAGGGAGAAGACUAUUUUCCAUGAAUUUUUUGGAAAAAAACAAUGGAGCAGUCUCAGUUGAUGUCAAUGGAUCAUGUGAGAGGGGUAAAUGUUGCAAACUUAGCUGAUAUGGAGCAAAGUCAUAUGCUUGCUAAUACAUUAGCUCAGAACAAUGAUCCUAAAUUUCAUGUUUGUAAGCUAUAGUGUGCUGCAACUCUAUGAUGCUCUUGUUUUCAACAUGAAGAUAUUCUUUUGCACGUGUUUAUUGCUUCUAACUUUCAUAUAUAUUUUUUCCAUGUCUUUUUUAGUGUGUGUGAUGAUACAAGUAUUGAUAAUAAUCAAUCAUAAAUGAUUCUUAUAUCUCUCUGUUUUCAGUUAUUGCAUGGGACGAAAAAUAAAGCACUAGGUCCCUGAAGAUUGGGUCUGUGAAUCUGGGAAGAGAGAUGAAGCUGUCACAAUAGCAAUGAGCAAGAGGUAAUUGUCAAUUUCACAGCUUCAUUCCAAGAAGAAAAAGCCAGUAGAAACUGGUAAAGUUAAGUUCAUUCCUCAUGAAGAAAUCCUUAAGCUAUCUUCAGAGACCUUCUAAUAAUAAUAAAAAAUUGUGAUGCUGUGAAAUCAUUCCUUGCUUGAAAAGAAAGCAUUUUUUUUUUGGUGUAGCACUCCUUGCUUUAAGGAAUACUCAAUGCUUCUUUGUGACUGGCACUUGUGGUUGUAGUUUUGAUAGUUUUUCAUGAGGGCCUCUUUGCUGUCUUUGUUGUUCUCUGUUUGUAGUUUUAUGUCUUAUAUGUACUAUCUUAGUCUGAGGCUGUCUAGACUGUAAUACAGUACAGGUGAUUUCUUAUCAUCUUUUUUUAAUACAAUCUUGUUUGGUUGGGAUUGAAA